RNAcentral lists this ribosomal RNA (450 nucleotides) under uncultured bacterium. RNAcentral's name for it is "partial 16S ribosomal RNA". It matches the Rfam family "Bacterial small subunit ribosomal RNA", at positions 354 to 796 of the family's 1533-position model. The record is from RNAcentral.
GUGGGGAAUCUUCCGCAAUGGACGAAAGUCUGACGGAGCGACGCCGCGUGAGUGAAGAAGGCCUUCGGGUCGUAAAGCUCUGUCAUCAGGGACGAACGGCCGGUGGAGUGGAAAGCCACCGGAUUGACGGUACCUGAGAAGGAAGCCACGGCUAACUACGUGCCAGCAGCCGCGGUAAUACGUAGGUGGCAAGCGUUGUCCGGAAUUAUUGGGCGUAAAGCGCGGGCAGGUGGGAUCUUAAGUCCAUUUUGAAAGUUCGGAGCUCAACUCCGUGAUGGGAUGGAAACUGGGAUUCUUGAGUACCGGAGAGGAAAGCGGAAUUCCCCGUGUAGCGGUGAAAUGCGUAGAUAUGGGGAGGAACACCAGUGGCGAAGGCGGCUUUCUGGACGGUGUCUGACACUGAGGCGCGAAAGCUAGGGGAGCGAACGGGAUUAGAAACCCGAGUAGUCC